AUUGAACGCUGGCGGAGUGCUUUACACAUGCAAGUCGAACGGCAGCACGGACUUCGGUCUGGUGGCGAGUGGCGAACGGGUGAGUAAUGUAUCGGAACGUGCCCAGUCGUGGGGGAUAACGUAGUGAAAAUUACGCCAAUACCGCAUACGAUCUAUGGAUGAAAGCGGGGGAUCGCAAGACCUCGCGCGAUUGGAGCGGCCGAUAUCAGAUUAGGUAGUUGGUGGGGUAAAGGCCCACCAAGCCAACGAUCUGUAGCUGGUCUGAGAGGACGACCAGCCACACUGGAACUGAGACACGGUCCAGACUCCUACGGGAGGCAGCAGUGGGGAAUUUUGGACAAUGGGCGAAAGCCUGAUCCAGCCAUUCCGCGUGCAGGAUGAAGGCCCUCGGGUUGUAAACUGCUUUUGUACAGAACGAAAAGGUUUCUACUAAUACUAGGAGCUCAUGACGGUACUGUAAGAAUAAGCACCGGCUAACUACGUGACAGCAGCCGCGGUAA
RNAcentral lists this ribosomal RNA (500 nucleotides) under uncultured bacterium. RNAcentral's name for it is "partial 16S ribosomal RNA". It matches the Rfam family "Bacterial small subunit ribosomal RNA", at positions 30 to 523 of the family's 1533-position model. The record is from RNAcentral.